This 456-nucleotide unclassified non-coding RNA is filed under the name uncultured Clavulina. Its description in RNAcentral is "sequence contains ITS2". The stretch from base 1 to 154 matches the Rfam family "5.8S ribosomal RNA". The record is from RNAcentral. Lineage: Eukaryota; Fungi; Basidiomycota; Agaricomycetes; Cantharellales; Hydnaceae.
AACUUUUGGCAACGGAUCACUUGGCUCUCGCAUCGAUGAAGAACGCAGCGAAAUGCGAUAAGUAAUGUGAAUUGCAGAAUUCAGUGAAUCAUCGAUUCUUUGAACGCACCUUGCGCUCCCUGGUAUUCCGGGGAGCACGCCUGUUCGAGUGUCGCGAAAUUUCUCAAGCUUGGAUGGCCUUUUUGUCUGUCCUUAGGCUUGGUUGUUGGGCUUUUCCGUGUCCUUUGUUGGGACGGCUCGCCUUAAAAGCAUUAGCUGAUCCUCGUGUGGCACCGCUUCUACUCAGCGUUAUAACAGUCUGAUCGCUGAGGACAUCUUUUGGGAUGGCCAGUUCUCAUUUGGUUUGCUUCCAAACUUGGUUUUGCAGAUUCUUCAAUCUGUGUUCCACUUUUCAGCUUUGACCUCGACUCAGGUGGGACUACCCGCUGAAUUUAAGCAUAUCAAUAAGCGGAGGCU